GUCCCUUUGAUAAUCUACUAACUGCCUUAAAUGAAGCUUGAUGAUCCUUUGUGAGUUAUUAGUGGAUUGUUCAAUGGUGCAGUGGUUAGAUUAGUGAAAUCUCACAGUGGUAUAGUAAAUGUAUCCAAAGGAAUCUGGAAAUUGACGCAUCUCUAUGAAAGGAAGUGAUAUCUUUAUUCUUCCCAAUGUGUCUCAUUAUGUUCUUUUCCUUUUUAUAUGUACCUACCACUAUUAAGAAGAUGUGACUGUAUUACCUGAAUUUCAAGUGGACUACUCCAUGAAUAAUGUUUCCAGUUCAGUGGAACUCUAGAGGUGCUGUCUUCAGGUCACAUCUUUAACUCUCUCCUGGGUCCUAAACCUAUGACAGUGCUGAGGAAAGACUGAUUAAUAAAGUGAACAAAGUAUGCUGCUGAGCAGAGGCAGUAUUGACUGCCUCAACAAGGAAUCCCUGCAUUAUCUUCUCAGAAGGAUUCUGGAAUUGAUGUGUCAGAAAAGAAGGAUCUCAGUUCCACACCCUCAAGAGACUGAAAUCUGUCAACAAUCAGUGACCUUGGAAGAAGAGCAAUUUUGCACAACACCUCAGGUCUGACAACAAGCACAGCUAGGUGAAUCUCCUGGAUGGCCCCCCCAUAUUUACUCCCACUUUACCUUCUGAGCAAGAACUUUGUCACUUUUCUACUUAGUUGGAAAGACUUAUGAACAAAAUCUGAAGACCGAUUUUUAUGGAACGGAGGCUUUUCAUACUACCCAUCUCCCUGGCUGUGUAUUUUCAAAUUUUAUGCCUCAUCUGCUAAAAUCUGUCUCAGCACAAACCCAGACUGUGCAGCUGUGUAAAUCAUGUGUGUCUGUGACCAGGUGUGCCAAGGAUGACUGUGGAGAUACCACUGUUAAGUAAGCCUCCCGCUAAAAGAAGAGACACAGGUAACAUUGACUUUCAGUUGUUGACAUGCUGGCUGG
Long non-coding RNA from Mirounga angustirostris (Northern elephant seal), 957 nucleotides. RefSeq lists it as uncharacterized. The transcript is spliced from 5 exons. NCBI's taxonomy places the organism in Eukaryota, Metazoa, Chordata, Mammalia, Carnivora, Phocidae. The record is from RefSeq and is a predicted model, not a curated record.